Molecule: long non-coding RNA, 791 nt
Organism: Helianthus annuus (common sunflower)
Lineage: Eukaryota; Viridiplantae; Streptophyta; Magnoliopsida; Asterales; Asteraceae
Exons: 3
Source: RefSeq, a predicted model, not a curated record
UUUUGAUAACUAAUAUGAAGAUUUUAUUGUUUAUGUGGGACUUGAACCCGGGUCUCUCCGGUGAGAGCCGAGUAUCCUAACUAAGUAGACUACAACGGAAGAUGUUAUUAAGUUCUUAAUCAUUAUUAAAAUCAUUGAUUCAUCACUUUAUAAACAGAUAAUAACUUCGGGUAUUACGGAUGUAACGUCAAAAACUCACACUUUAUAAACAGUAUGAUUUUUUUCUAAAAUUAUUAACGCAGUUUCAAAAGAUAAAUUAAACCAAAGUUAAAGUAAAAGGUAUAUCUAGCUUAAGCAUUUUGAUUUAAAAAGAGUUAGGCAGUUAGUUAGCUGUAUAUGUAUGUAACAACUUUUACAGCAGAUUUAGAGGUUUGACUUGGUUGACCAUGUCUUUACCUGGAUAAAUUUUUGUGUAGCUAGCGGUGUCAAGGUGUGACCGUAAAGGUGUUCCUCCCCAACGGUUCUAGUUCUAAGGUGAAAUAUGAGGGAUAUCUUUUGGAGAAGUAUGGGGAGGAAAGUAGCGAACACCGAGAACUUGACAAAGAAUUGUGGUACCGAGCUUCCGGGGGAAAGAAGAGAGGAAAAGUAUAUGGGUUAAGCAAUCUUAAGAAUGAUUUUAGCGUUCAGCAUCAUGGCAAACAAGACCAAGAGAUCGAAAGAUUGAACGUGAUUAUCCAAGAUAUAGUGAAAUAAAAUGAAGAAGAAAAAGAAAGGUUGAACGAUAUUAUUGCGGAAUUGGUGGUGGAAAAAGAGAAAGAUAAGGCGAGAAAGAGGCUAUGAAUGAGAGGAUG